This 245-nucleotide ribosomal RNA is filed under the name uncultured bacterium. Its description in RNAcentral is "partial 16S ribosomal RNA". It matches the Rfam family "Bacterial small subunit ribosomal RNA", at positions 528 to 772 of the family's 1533-position model. The record is from RNAcentral.
UAGGGGGCAAGCGUUAUCCGGAUUUACUGGGUGUAAAGGGAGCGUAGACGGUUGUGCAAGUCUGGAGUGAAAUGCUGGGGCCCAACCCAAGGACUGCUCUGGAAACUGUAUGACUGGAGUGCAGGAGAGGUAAGUGGAAUUCCUAGUGUAGCGGUGAAAUGCGUAGAUAUUAGGAGGAACACCAGUGGCGAAGGCGGCUUACUGGACUGUAACUGACGUUGAGGCUCGAAAGCGUGGGGAGCAAA